RNAcentral lists this transfer RNA (66 nucleotides) under Odontotermes sp. A TB-2017. Its description in RNAcentral is "tRNA-Ala". The record is from RNAcentral. Lineage: Eukaryota; Metazoa; Arthropoda; Insecta; Blattodea; Termitidae.
GGGACUAUAGUUAAUAAUAACAUUUGAGUUGCAUUCAAAAAGUACUACAAACAGUAGUUAGCCUCA